Long non-coding RNA from Panthera uncia (snow leopard), 2069 nucleotides. RefSeq lists it as uncharacterized. The record is from RefSeq and is a predicted model, not a curated record. Lineage: Eukaryota; Metazoa; Chordata; Mammalia; Carnivora; Felidae. The transcript is spliced from 2 exons.
CCGGGGACCUCGCGCCCGCGCUCUGUUGUUGUGCCUGCCCUCUGCUGUGCCUGGAGACAGAACGCCUUCACACACUUCACUGCAUGGCUGCCUUGGAACACCCCCGCGUUUCCUCCGUGUGGACCCAGCCUUCCGCGCGAUGAGUAGUGGGAAUUGUAGUUCGCCCGCAGCUGCUGGCCCUGCGGCUCUCCCGACCAGGCUAUGCGGAAGAGCGAGCCCUCGAUCACCAAUGGGAAGGUCUUUUCAGCCUCGAGGCCGAACCUUGGGGAGUUGGGAGUUUACACUUUCCAUUUCUGGGAGUGACACCUGGAGGUCAAAUGAUGGAGAUAUGAAAAUCAGUAAGCGUUCUGUCUGACGAGGGCAAAACCCGCCUUCUGCGCUCCUCCCCCUUGCUCCCCGCCUGUCUCCCAGUUUCUGCCCCCUCCUCCGCCCGGUCUCGCUUUACUCCUUUUUCCUUGUGUCUCUAUAGCUAGACGGCCUGCUGGCUCCGCCACUGAGUGGCUGUGAGACCCUGAGGGUAGUUAACUUCUGUUCCUCAGCUUCUUUAUCUGUAAAAUAGGGAUAGAAUGGUACCUGCGUCCUAGGGUUAUUUGAGGACAAAGUGAGUUCAUGCUAAGGCUCUUAGAAGAGUAUCUUUUCGCAUAGUAAGUGCUCAAUUAAAUGUUAGCUUUGAUACCCUUCUCCCAACGUCCCCCUCCAAAAAGGGGGAGAGAGAAAGGUUGAUAAUAAUAAUAAUAGGUGUGCACCACUAAGUUGUGAGCUUUUUAUUUGGGACAGGUACUGCCAUAUCUUACUAGACUUACUACUAUGAGGUACCACCACCCAGAACCCAUAGCGCUUGUAAGUCUCUGUAAGUGUUUUUUGAAGAAUGAGGUUCGUGUCAUCAAGAUGGGUAACUGAGUGGCAAUCCAGCAUCUUCUAGAUAAAACUCAGGGUAAGACUUGGUAAAUUGGAUGGCCUAGGCCUAGUGGGGAAAACACAAGUAUAUUUGGUGAUGCUUGUGGGCACGUGUUGUACACACGGUCUUUCCUCGUUAAUUUAGGAGCAAAGAAACAGUAAAUGAAACAAUUUGGCUAGAACAUGGCGGUAUUUUCGAGCCGCAGGCCGGAGUGUGUCAUAGGAAGGUUUUCUGCCCUGGGUAAGCUUUAGGGCCUCUCCCAACUCCGAAGCUAGAAAGUAACGACCAUCCAUCCAUACCUUUCUGCAUACCUACUGCUCUCUGAAUACGUGAAUUGAUUAACCAAAUUCCUUGUGGAUUAAAUAGGCUCUGAAGACUCUUGCUUUGUAGAUUUGGGACGAAUAAUUCUGAGUUUGUGGGAGGUCUGACCCUGCUAACAUCCACCAGUAUCCUCCUUCCCUGAUUAGAGAUGACUUGACCAUGGGGGGGGAGGGGAAACCCCUCUGACAGAAAUAUAAUCAUUUUAAUAUGUCUCCCUCUAGAUCCAGAGAAGCCCAUAACUUACAAACACUUUUAAAGUCAGUAUUUAUUAUACCACAGUCUGAGAAAGGGUUUUUUUUUUUUCCUAAUUCUGCUGGACUGGCCCCUCUGAAGACCUCAACUGUCCAAAAAACAUAGAUCAGCCAUAUUCAUUCUCUUUCUCCAGCCACCACUACUGUUCAGCUGUUGACAGCUGUGUUACUCAAACUGCUUUUCACUGCUUCCCAUAGCGAUUAGAACACAAAGUUUCAUAACCCGUGAUGACUUCUCAAAGUACUUCAGGGACUCUUUGCCAGCACUUAUUUGCAUAGGCAUUGCUCCAGGUAUCCCAUCUGUAGCUGCCCUUUGGGGAGGAAAUACUUCUCAACCUUGGGUAACCUGCAGAAGGUAACUCCACCUUGUCUCCUUGCUCUGUUGCUUCAGAUGCGUGCACACAGUUUGGGUAUUUGGCAAAACAUAUUUUUGUUUGCGUUUAAAGGAGAACUACCACCAAGUUGGGAAGCAGAAGGUAAAACAUUUUCAGCAAGAAAUGUUGGUGUGGUUUUCGGAACGGAUUUCCGUCCCCCUCUUACUGUUGCAUUCCAUUUGCCCACAUUUGACUCCGAAUAAAGCUCUAGGCCUUUGGAGCACA